CAUAUUACCCUGAAUGUCCCCAAUCUUGUCUGAUCUCGGAAGGUAAACAUGGUUGGGCCUAGUUGGUACUAGGCUGAGAGAACAAAUAGGUC
Molecule: ribosomal RNA, 92 nt
Filed under: Bison bison bison
Lineage: Eukaryota; Metazoa; Chordata; Mammalia; Artiodactyla; Bovidae
Source: RNAcentral